GGUGGGAGAGUGAGGGUUCAUUAGUACUGUAUUGGAGGCUAGCCUACAAGUGGAAAAUAAAUAAAUAAAUAAAUAAAUCUUAGAUCUGUCUGAAGGGUAUCCCAGGUGUUGGACAGGGAUAGCGACUAGUGAAGUUAAGAAGUCGGCAGUAGUUGAUUGGGUUGGAUACUCAGGUACAUGGUGAGUGAUGGAGAAAGGAGUUGAUGAGAUCCUAGUGAGUGAGGUGUGCUUGCUCUGAUGCUGGGGCUGUGAGCUCAGAGCUCCCUGGAGACAUGGUAGCCUCUGUGCAUAACUGUUAAUGGAUCUUCUGUCCUGUUCAACAGGACUGUGGCCACUUCAUUGCAGGUUUUAUUUCUUCACUGAAGAAGUGCACUUUCAAAGCCCAGUGUCUGACAGACUCUGAAGCUUCUGGAACAAUAAAAGCUGGGAACUUUUCCAGUCCUGAAAUCUCUCCGUGCUCUGGUCAGCGUGGAGCCCAACGCCUCCGCGGUUUGUGUGAGGAAGGGCUGAGGCUGUGCUGUCAGCUCAGUGUCCUGGAUGCCCCUGGGAAACAGCGGACGGGCUGACCGGCCUCGCGUGGGCAAGGGGACUCCAGCCCAGUCUGGGAAGGGCAUGACUGUCACCAGCACGGGAAAAAUAUCUCAGUCAGCAUUCUCCCUGGCAGCACUUCAAACAAGGCCACUGCCUCUUGCAGAUAAACCUUAUCUUUAGCACCAUGGAAAUCCCAGAGGUUUGCGAAAUAAAAUGAGCUUUUCACGUGAUGCAAUUCAUAUAGGCAGAUUUUUAUCAGACUCCAAACACUUUGGCUCUGAAAGCUCUGAGAUUGGAAGUUAUUUAUGGACCUGUAAGAGCUACUUGUACAAACAUGCUACAGAUGGACAAAACUUUCAGCAGUGUUGAGCUCCGGGCUGUCUGAAGUCCAGAUUCCCCAGCUGACAGUAUAAGACAAUCCAGUCCAGGGCAGCAGCACUGUCUGGCAUCUAGACUCUGUGCAGCACGAUGAAAGGGUCACAUUCAUCGGACUGCUUGUGCUUUAGUGCUUAUGACCUCCGACCUCU
Lepisosteus oculatus (spotted gar) is the source of this 1058-nucleotide long non-coding RNA. RefSeq lists it as uncharacterized. Lineage: Eukaryota; Metazoa; Chordata; Actinopteri; Semionotiformes; Lepisosteidae. The record is from RefSeq and is a predicted model, not a curated record.